CGAUGAUCCAGUAGAUGAGGCUCUGGAACAUGGCGUCCAGCAAUCCGUAGCUGAAGUAGAGCAGGAAGGGCCCCGCGUACCGCCGCCCAUCCUUGAAAUCGAUGAGCCUCUCCCCCCAAUUGCCGUCGGCGUACGGGACGUGGUUGGCGAGGCCGCCGGCCAGAUGGCGGUGCCGAGCACGGCGACGGCGGCGACCCCGCACAGGCCCCUCCUCCUCCUGCUGGAGGAUCCGAAUCCGAAGUCGAGGAAGUAGCCGAUGGCCGCGGCAGCGAGCAUCUGGGCGCCCCAGUAGAAGACGUUGUUGAGGCCCUUGGUGCGGCAGGUGAAGAGGCGGCCAUUGACGUUGUUGAACUGGUAGGUGUAGAAGAAGUUGCUGGCCCAUGCGGCGGGGAGGACGAGCAGCAUCCUCCAGUUGGCGAACAGCUUGAGGAUCUCCCACCCCUCGGUGGACACGGAGGAGUAGCUCAUCCUGGUGGCGCGGCUGCCGUCGUGGCGUCGUUGACGCUGGCGGCGUCGGCGGCGCGGUGGUAGUUGAGGGAGAAGGGGAGGAGGCCACCGAGGACGCCGCCGAGGUUGAAGAGGCACCAGAAGAGGGAGAUGUAGGAGCCGCGGCGGGACGGGGGUGGGUAUGACGUCAUGAUGGCGCCCUGCGCGGCCCAGAGGAGUCCGGCCCCGACGCCGAGGAGGGCGCCGGCGGUGACGGGGAAGGCCUGGCGGGAGGGGUGGUGGUUGUAGUAGAGGAAGGAGGCGGCGUAGAGCGGGUAGGUGAGGGCGCCGGCGAGGAGGGUGACGCGCGGGCCGAGGAGGUUGUGGGCGGCGCCGCCGAGGACGCCGAAGACGGCGAAGCAGGAGUAGAGGGCGGUGUUGGCGUUGUCGGCGGUGGAGUGGUCCAGCUGCCCGCCGCCGCCGAGCCCGGUCAGGGCGUUGAACAUGCCAGGGCAGCAGAAGCACACCAACCCGAUCAGGGACACCUGCACCAGCGGCGAGUUGUACCGCAGCUUCCCCGUCGCCGCCGGCGACGACUCCACCUCCGCCGUCACGGC
This 1043-nucleotide small RNA is filed under the name Oryza sativa Japonica Group (Japanese rice). Its description in RNAcentral is "sRNA Os04g0105450". The record is from RNAcentral. Lineage: Eukaryota; Viridiplantae; Streptophyta; Magnoliopsida; Poales; Poaceae.